AAGAGACUUCAGAUACAGUAUUAGGGGUCCACUAAGGUUAUAUAAAGAGACUUCAGAUACAGUAUUAGGGGACCACUAAGGUCUUUAUAAAAGCAUCCAAAGAGUACCAUGUCAUGGGACCUUUAAA
Molecule: long non-coding RNA, 127 nt
Organism: Etheostoma spectabile (orangethroat darter)
Lineage: Eukaryota; Metazoa; Chordata; Actinopteri; Perciformes; Percidae
Exons: 2
Source: RefSeq, a predicted model, not a curated record